AGGGCAAUAGCUCAGUGGUAGAGUGCGUGCUUAGCAUGCACGAGGUCCUGGGUUCAAUUUCCAGUACCUCUA
Molecule: transfer RNA, 72 nt
Organism: Camelus ferus (Wild Bactrian camel)
Lineage: Eukaryota; Metazoa; Chordata; Mammalia; Artiodactyla; Camelidae
Rfam family: tRNA
About the family: Transfer RNA (tRNA) molecules are approximately 80 nucleotides in length. Their secondary structure includes four short double-helical elements and three loops (D, anti-codon, and T loops). Further hydrogen bonds mediate the characteristic L-shaped molecular structure. tRNAs have two regions of fundamental functional importance: the anti-codon, which is responsible for specific mRNA codon recognition, and the 3' end, to which the tRNAs corresponding amino acid is attached (by aminoacyl-tRNA synthetases). tRNAs cope with the degeneracy of the genetic code in two manners: having more than one tRNA (with a specific anti-codon) for a particular amino acid; and 'wobble' base-pairing, i.e. permitting non-standard base-pairing at the 3rd anti-codon position.
Source: Rfam